AUUCCAAUCGAACGCGGAGAUAGCUGGUUCUCCCCGAAAUAGCUUUAGGGCUAGCGUCGAGGUAAAGUCGUGUGAAGGUAGAGCACUGAAUAUGUGAUGGCCCCAUCUCGGGGUACUGAACAUAAUCAAACUCCGAAUGUCACAAAGAUAUACUCGGCAGUCAGACAGUGGGUGAUAAGGUCCAUUGUCAAAAGGGAAACAGCCCAGACCAUCAGCUAAGGUCCCAAAAUAUAUACUAAGUGGAAAAGGAUGUGGAGAUGUCCAGACAACUAGGAGGUUGGCUCAGAAGCAGCCAUCCUUUAAAGAGUGCGUAACAGCUCACUAGUCGAAUGACUCUGCGCCGAUAAUUUACCGGGGCUAAGUAUAUUACCGAAGCUAUGGAUUUACGCGUAAGCGUGAGUGGUAGGGGAGCGUUCUAUGUGCGGAGAAGCGGUACCGUAAGGAGCCGUGGAGCGCAUAGAAGAGAGAAUGCCGGUGUGAGUAGCGAAACGUGGGUGAGAAUCCCACGCACCGAAAACCCAAGGUUUCCAGAGGAAGGUUCGUCCGCUCUGGGUAAGUCGGGACCUAAGGCGAGGCCGAGAGGCGUAGUCGAUGGACAACAGGUAGAGAUUCCUGUACUUACGGUAUGAAUGAUGGAGUGACGGAGAAGGCUAGCGGAUCCUGCUGAUGGAAAUGCAGGUGCAAGCGAGGUAGCCGACAGCCAGGCAAAUCCGGCUGUCGAAAGGCAAAGGCGUGAGGCGUAUGGAAAGCUGCGGCAAGUACAGAAGUCCGUGAAGCCAGCUUCCAAGAAAAGCUUCUAGUGAUAAUCAUACAGUAACCCGUACCGAAAAUGGACACACAUGGGUGAGGAGAGAAUCCUAAGGUGAGCGAGAGAACUAUAGCUAAGGAACUCUGCAAAAUGACUCCGUAACUUAGGGAUAAGGAGUGCUCAUAGAGAUAUGAGCCGCAGUGAAACGGCCCAAGCGACUGUUUACCAAAAACACAGCUCUAUGCUAAGUCGAAAGACGACGUAUAUGGGGUGACGCCUGCCCGGUGCUGGAAGGUUAAGAGGAUGUGUCAGCGCAAGCGAAGCAUUGAAUUGAAGCCCCAGUAAACGGCGGCCGUAACUAUAACGGUCCUAAGGUAGCGAAAUUCCUUGUCAGGUAAGUUCUGACCCGCACGAAAGGCGUAACGAUUUGGGCGCUGUCUCAGCUGUAGACUCGGUGAAGUCUUAGUACCUGUGAAGAUGCAGGUUACCCGCGACUAGACGGAAAGACCCCAUGGAGCUUUACUGUAGCUUGAUAUUGGACUUUGAUGCAAGAUGUACAGGAUAGGUAGGAGACUGAGAGACAUGCACGCCAGUGUGUGAGGAGUCAAUGUUGGGAUACUACUCUUCUUGUAUUGGAGUUCUAACCGGAUGCCAUGGAACUGGCAACGGGACAGUGUCAGGUGGGCAGUUUGACUGGGGCGGUCGCCUCCCAAAGAGUAACGGAGGCGCCCAAAGAUACCCUCAGCUUGGAUGGAAAUCAAGCGCAGAGUGCAAAGGCAUAAGGGUGUUUGACUGCGAGACCUACAAGUCGAGCAGGGACGAAAGUCGGGCUUAGUGAUCCGGCGGUGCUGAAUGGAAAGGCCGUCGCUCAACGGAUAAAAGCUACCCUGGGGAUAACAGGCUGAUCUCCCCCAAGAGUUCACAUCGACGGGGAGGUUUGGCACCUCGAUGUCGGCUCAUCGCAUCCUGGGGCUGUAGUCGGUCCCAAGGGUUGGGCUGUUCGCCCAUUAAAGCGGUACGCGAGCUGGGUUCAGAACGUCGUGAGACAGUUCGGUCCCUAUC
Molecule: ribosomal RNA, 1810 nt
Filed under: human gut metagenome
Description: bacterial LSU rRNA
Rfam family: Bacterial large subunit ribosomal RNA
Source: RNAcentral